UACGGAGGGUGCAAGCGUUAUCCGGAUUCACUGGGUUUAAAGGGUGCGUAGGUGGGUCUGUAAGUCAGUGGUGAAAUCUCCGUGCUUAACAUGGAAACUGCCAUUGAUACUAUAGGUCUUGAAUUUUCUGGAGGUAAGCGGAAUAUGUCAUGUAGCGGUGAAAUUCUUAGAUAUGACAUAGAACACCAAUUGCGAAGGCAGCUUACUACGGGAACAUUGACACUGAGGCACGAAAGCGUGGGGAUCAAACAGG
RNAcentral lists this ribosomal RNA (253 nucleotides) under uncultured bacterium. RNAcentral describes it as "partial 16S ribosomal RNA". It matches the Rfam family "Bacterial small subunit ribosomal RNA", at positions 524 to 776 of the family's 1533-position model. The record is from RNAcentral.